GCUAAGAUUCAAUGCUCAUUCGUUGGGGGAAGAGGCUGCUAUUCAACAAAUCAAUCGUCCAUCUAUUGGUAGUAACAACUAAGGCCUGUUUUCUUUUCUUCUUCUUCUUCUUCUCGUCCUUUUUUUUCUUCUUCUUUUUUUAUUGGCAACAGUAGAUAAAAAAUUUUCUUUAUUUAACCUAUUUAUGGAAUUAGCUGAGUUGCAAUUCUUUCCCUUUUUCUUUUAUUGACAAAUUCUGCUUCUUUUGCAUCAGUAAUACAAAGUUGUUUAUGGUUUU
RNAcentral lists this long non-coding RNA (277 nucleotides) under Capsicum annuum. RNAcentral describes it as "long non-coding RNA (CANN_LNC017247)". The record is from RNAcentral. Lineage: Eukaryota; Viridiplantae; Streptophyta; Magnoliopsida; Solanales; Solanaceae.